This 464-nucleotide ribosomal RNA is filed under the name uncultured bacterium. RNAcentral describes it as "bacterial SSU rRNA". It matches the Rfam family "Bacterial small subunit ribosomal RNA", at positions 27 to 507 of the family's 1533-position model. The record is from RNAcentral.
CGGACGAACGCUGGCGGCGUGCUUAACACAUGCAAGUCGAACGGUAAGGCCCUUCGGGGUACACGAGUGGCGAACGGGUGAGUAACACGUGGGUGAUCUGCCCUGCACUUCGGGAUAAGCUUGGGAAACUGGGUCUAAUACCGGAUAGGACCACGGUCUGCAUGGAUUGUGGUGGAAAGCUUUUGCGGUGUGGGAUGGGCCCGCGGCCUAUCAGCUUGUUGGUGGGGUGAUGGCCUACCAAGGCGACGACGGGUAGCCGGCCUGAGAGGGUGUCCGGCCACACUGGGACUGAGAUACGGCCCAGACUCCUACGGGAGGCAGCAGUGGGGAAUAUUGCACAAUGGGCGCAAGCCUGAUGCAGCGACGCCGCGUGGGGGAUGACGGCCUUCGGGUUGUAAACCUCUUUCAGCAUCGACGAAGCGCAAGUGACGGUAGAUGCAGAAGAAGCACCGGCCAACUACGUG